This 2893-nucleotide ribosomal RNA is filed under the name Escherichia coli. RNAcentral's name for it is "bacterial LSU rRNA". It matches the Rfam family "Bacterial large subunit ribosomal RNA". The record is from RNAcentral. Lineage: Bacteria; Pseudomonadati; Pseudomonadota; Gammaproteobacteria; Enterobacterales; Enterobacteriaceae.
ACUAAGCGUACACGGUGGAUGCCCUGGCAGUCAGAGGCGAUGAAGGACGUGCUAAUCUGCGAUAAGCGUCGGUAAGGUGAUAUGAACCGUUAUAACCGGCGAUUUCCGAAUGGGGAAACCCAGUGUGUUUCGACACACUAUCAUUAACUGAAUCCAUAGGUUAAUGAGGCGAACCGGGGGAACUGAAACAUCUAAGUACCCCGAGGAAAAGAAAUCAACCGAGAUUCCCCCAGUAGCGGCGAGCGAACGGGGAGCAGCCCAGAGCCUGAAUCAGUGUGUGUGUUAGUGGAAGCGUCUGGAAAGGCGCGCGAUACAGGGUGACAGCCCCGUACACAAAAAUGCACAUACUGUGAGCUCGAUGAGUAGGGCGGGACACGUGGUAUCCUGUCUGAAUAUGGGGGGACCAUCCUCCAAGGCUAAAUACUCCUGACUGACCGAUAGUGAACCAGUACCGUGAGGGAAAGGCGAAAAGAACCCCGGCGAGGGGAGUGAAAAAGAACCUGAAACCGUGUACGUACAAGCAGUGGGAGCCUCUUUAUGGGGUGACUGCGUACCUUUUGUAUAAUGGGUCAGCGACUUAUAUUCUGUAGCAAGGUUAACCGAAUAGGGGAGCCGAAGGGAAACCGAGUCUUAACUGGGCGUUAAGUUGCAGGGUAUAGACCCGAAACCCGGUGAUCUAGCCAUGGGCAGGUUGAAGGUUGGGUAACACUAACUGGAGGACCGAACCGACUAAUGUUGAAAAAUUAGCGGAUGACUUGUGGCUGGGGGUGAAAGGCCAAUCAAACCGGGAGAUAGCUGGUUCUCCCCGAAAGCUAUUUAGGUAGCGCCUCGUGAAUUCAUCUCCGGGGGUAGAGCACUGUUUCGGCAAGGGGGUCAUCCCGACUUACCAACCCGAUGCAAACUGCGAAUACCGGAGAAUGUUAUCACGGGAGACACACGGCGGGUGCUAACGUCCGUCGUGAAGAGGGAAACAACCCAGACCGCCAGCUAAGGUCCCAAAGUCAUGGUUAAGUGGGAAACGAUGUGGGAAGGCCCAGACAGCCAGGAUGUUGGCUUAGAAGCAGCCAUCAUUUAAAGAAAGCGUAAUAGCUCACUGGUCGAGUCGGCCUGCGCGGAAGAUGUAACGGGGCUAAACCAUGCACCGAAGCUGCGGCAGCGACACUAUGUGUUGUUGGGUAGGGGAGCGUUCUGUAAGCCUGUGAAGGUGUGCUGUGAGGUAUGCUGGAGGUAUCAGAAGUGCGAAUGCUGACAUAAGUAACGAUAAAGCGGGUGAAAAGCCCGCUCGCCGGAAGACCAAGGGUUCCUGUCCAACGUUAAUCGGGGCAGGGUGAGUCGACCCCUAAGGCGAGGCCGAAAGGCGUAGUCGAUGGGAAACAGGUUAAUAUUCCUGUACUUGGUGUUACUGCGAAGGGGGGACGGAGAAGGCUAUGUUGGCCGGGCGACGGUUGUCCCGGUUUAAGCGUGUAGGCUGGUUUUCCAGGCAAAUCCGGAAAAUCAAGGCUGAGGCGUGAUGACGAGGCACUACGGUGCUGAAGUAACAAAUGCCCUGCUUCCAGGAAAAGCCUCUAAGCAUCAGGUAACAUCAAAUCGUACCCCAAACCGACACAGGUGGUCAGGUAGAGAAUACCAAGGCGCUUGAGAGAACUCGGGUGAAGGAACUAGGCAAAAUGGUGCCGUAACUUCGGGAGAAGGCACGCUGAUAUGUAGGUGAAGUCCCUUGCGGAUGGAGCUGAAAUCAGUCGAAGAUACCAGCUGGCUGCAACUGUUUAUUAAAAACACAGCACUGUGCAAACACGAAAGUGGACGUAUACGGUGUGACGCCUGCCCGGUGCCGGAAGGUUAAUUGAUGGGGUUAGCGGUAACGCGAAGCUCUUGAUCGAAGCCCCGGUAAACGGCGGCCGUAACUAUAACGGUCCUAAGGUAGCGAAAUUCCUUGUCGGGUAAGUUCCGACCUGCACGAAUGGCGUAAUGAUGGCCAGGCUGUCUCCACCCGAGACUCAGUGAAAUUGAACUCGCUGUGAAGAUGCAGUGUACCCGCGGCAAGACGGAAAGACCCCGUGAACCUUUACUAUAGCUUGACACUGAACAUUGAGCCUUGAUGUGUAGGAUAGGUGGGAGGCUUUGAAGUGUGGACGCCAGUCUGCAUGGAGCCGACCUUGAAAUACCACCCUUUAAUGUUUGAUGUUCUAACGUUGGCCCCUGAUCGGGGUUGCGGACAGUGUCUGGUGGGUAGUUUGACUGGGGCGGUCUCCUCCUAAAGAGUAACGGAGGAGCACGAAGGUUGGCUAAUCCUGGUCGGACAUCAGGAGGUUAGUGCAAUGGCAUAAGCCAGCUUGACUGCGAGCGUGACGGCGCGAGCAGGUGCGAAAGCAGGUCAUAGUGAUCCGGUGGUUCUGAAUGGAAGGGCCAUCGCUCAACGGAUAAAAGGUACUCCGGGGAUAACAGGCUGAUACCGCCCAAGAGUUCAUAUCGACGGCGGUGUUUGGCACCUCGAUGUCGGCUCAUCACAUCCUGGGGCUGAAGUAGGUCCCAAGGGUAUGGCUGUUCGCCAUUUAAAGUGGUACGCGAGCUGGGUUUAGAACGUCGUGAGACAGUUCGGUCCCUAUCUGCCGUGGGCGCUGGAGAACUGAGGGGGGCUGCUCCUAGUACGAGAGGACCGGAGUGGACGCAUCACUGGUGUUCGGGUUGUCAUGCCAAUGGCACUGCCCGGUAGCUAAAUGCGGAAGAGAUAAGUGCUGAAAGCAUCUAAGCACGAAACUUGCCCCGAGAUGAGUUCUCCCUGACCCUUUAAGGGUCCUGAAGGAACGUUGAAGACGACGACGUUGAUAGGCCGGGUGUGUAAGCGCAGCGAUGCGUUGAGCUAACCGGUACUAAUGAACCGUGAGGCUUAACC